UCUCCGUUGGUGAACCAGCGGAGGGAUCAUUACUGAGUCUUACAAACUCUCUAAACCCACUGUGAACAUACCUUUUGUUGCUUCGGCGGUUUGUCCCGGUGAUAUCUGCUCAAGGUGUCCCGGAUCAUGACGAUCGCCGGAGGACGUGAAAUUCUUGUCUUUAGAAUUUGGUUCCUUCUGAGUAUAAUAAUUAAAAUGAAUCAAAACUUUCAACAACGGAUCUCUUGGUUCUGGCAUCGAUGAAGAACGCAGC
RNAcentral lists this unclassified non-coding RNA (253 nucleotides) under uncultured fungus. Its description in RNAcentral is "sequence contains ITS1, 5.8S rRNA gene". The stretch from base 205 to 253 matches the Rfam family "5.8S ribosomal RNA", at positions 1 to 49 of the family's 154-position model. Lineage: Eukaryota; Fungi. The record is from RNAcentral.